ACAGGUGCGGGAAAGGCUGCCUUCGUCGGGAUGCCUCAGCAUGU
Molecule: non-coding RNA, 44 nt
Filed under: Togula jolla
Lineage: Eukaryota; Dinophyceae; Gymnodiniales; Gymnodiniaceae
Source: RNAcentral